CCCUUAGAUGUUCUGGGUCGCACGCGUGCUACACUGAGUGGAUCAGCGGGUCAGGUUGCGCGAAAGUGUUUCCUAAUCUUUAAAUCCGCUCGUGAUGGGGAUUGACGGUUGCAAUUUUCCGUCAUGAACGAGGAAUACCUUGUAAGCGCGGGUCAUCAUCCCGCGCUGAAUACGUCCCUGCCCUUUGUACACACCGCCCGUCGCUCCUACCGAUUGAGUGGUCCGGUGAGGCUUUGGGAUCUGAGCGGAAAGAGCGUUUCGCUGUUUCUGCUCGGAAAACUCAGUCGAACCUUAUCAUUUAGAGGAAGGAGAAGUCGUAACA
Molecule: ribosomal RNA, 322 nt
Filed under: uncultured eukaryote
Lineage: Eukaryota
Description: partial 18S ribosomal RNA
Rfam family: Eukaryotic small subunit ribosomal RNA
Source: RNAcentral